Molecule: long non-coding RNA, 216 nt
Filed under: Elaeis guineensis (African oil palm)
Lineage: Eukaryota; Viridiplantae; Streptophyta; Magnoliopsida; Arecales; Arecaceae
Description: long non-coding RNA (EGUI_LNC071366)
Source: RNAcentral
GCCACAUCAUUCGACCAAUCAGAAAAUUUUAAUUAACUCUGAAAAAAUUUUGAUUGGUGGAGUGAUGUCAUCUAAUCAUAUCAGAUAAGAAUCCCCACAAUCCCUCCUACUGUUGGUGCCAACACUGAAUAAGCACAGUGAGAUUUGCGCCCCACAGUCCAAGUUGAUCAAGGGAUCAGAGUCCUGAUCUCAUAGAACUCUGUCCUUAUCCACUUG